CCAAUGACCAGGUCUUCCCCCCCUUCCCCUAGCUGUACCCCAUUCUGGCUCUUCCCCACCGCGGUUCUACGCCUGUGGGCAUCCAGAAAGCUCUUCCUACGGACUCCUUAGCCUUGCGUGACCACCUCGCCUCCUCCUACCCAUCCCCCCCGCCCCAGCCAGCUUUCUAAAGCACACACCUUUCUGUGUCACUAAAAAACCCACAAUGGCACACAAUGGAAUAUUAUUCGGCCAUAAAAAGGAAUAAAGUAGGGCUACGUGCCACAACAUGGAUGAACCUCGACGACAUUGUGCUUAUGAAAGAAGCCAGACACAAAAGGCUACACAGUGUGUGCUUCCAUUUAUAGAACAGUGUCCAGCAGAGCCGUCGAUACAGACAGGAGCAGGUUAGUGAUUGCCAAGGACCGGGGAGAGCAGAGAAUGGGGGGGGUGACAGCUAAUGGGUAACAGGGUUUCUUUUUGAGGUGAUGAACGUGUUCUAAAAUUGUGGUCAUGGUUGCAAUUCUGGGCAUACACUAAAAAUCACUGAACUGUACAACUUAAAUAGCUGAAUUCUAUAGAACGUGAGCGAUGUCACAAUACAACAGCUGUUUUAAAAAAAUCUGCAACAGCGCUCCAAACGCCUCAAGAUCUCCAGAACCCCAGCGCGGGCGCCUGCCCCUCUCCCAGUGCCCACCACGCCCAGCCUCAUCUCUGCUGCUCCACACUGUCAACUACGUAUGGUCCCUGCCCAGGUCCAGCUCCUCUGUCCGUCCUGUCCUCACUCCUGUUGUCAUCAAACUCCUACGACACUUUAAGACUUGGUGCAGGUACCACCUCCUCCAGGAAGCCUUCCCUAAGCCACCAUCCAGGUCAUCCCAGGAGACUGCCUACUAUGGUGACAACACAUCUUACUUUUCAGACUGGAAGUCCCGUGUCCCAGAAAUGGCCUCAGUCUCUAGUGUCUGCUGUACUAUCUCCGUUCACUCCGGGCCCGCCACUUGCUGUGUGCUAAGCCCUGGGGAUGCAGAGACAGGGAAGCUGUGGUCCUUGCCUCCAGGCGCGUGGGUCCAGUUGGAGAGCUGCUCAAAGACACUUCCACGGCUCCCUGGUGCCUGUGGCAAGCCCAGCCUUCUUUGGCCUCUCCUCUACGGACCACCUUGCCAGCCUGUGCCCUCAGAACCUCCGAGCGGCAGCCUGGGCCCGGCCGCAGGAGGGUGA
Molecule: long non-coding RNA, 1200 nt
Filed under: Mustela putorius furo (domestic ferret)
Lineage: Eukaryota; Metazoa; Chordata; Mammalia; Carnivora; Mustelidae
Description: lncRNA (ENSMPUG00000024646.1)
Source: RNAcentral